Molecule: ribosomal RNA, 377 nt
Filed under: uncultured bacterium
Lineage: Bacteria
Description: bacterial SSU rRNA
Rfam family: Bacterial small subunit ribosomal RNA
Source: RNAcentral
UAAGACAGAGGGUGCAAACGUUGUUCGGAAUUACUGGGCGUAAAGCGCGUGUAGGCAGCUCGGAAAGUCGGAUGUGAAAGCCCUGGGCUUAACCCAGGAAGUGCACUCGAAACUUCCGAGCUUGAGUUCCGGAGAGGAAGGCGGAAUUCUCGGUGUAGAGGUGAAAUUCGUAGAUAUCGAGAGGAACACCGGUGGCGAAGGCGGCCUUCUGGACGGUGACUGACGCUGAGACGCGAAAGCGUGGGGAGCAAACAGGAUUAGAUACCCUGGUAGUCCACGCCGUAAACGAUGGGUGCUAGGUGUCGCGGGCUUUGACCCCUGCGGUGCCGUAGCUAACGCAUUAAGCACCCCGCCUGGGGAGUACGGCCGCAAGGCUA